GUGUGUGAGAGCGAUCUGGCUGCCGGGACUUCUGUCACUCCAUUAGUCACCGAGGUUGAUGUGGCUGCUCUGACUGACUGCUGGGCGGGUAUCCGCUUCCUCCAUCACUGCUCCACCUGCCUCCUUUGUCCUUCCCUAAGCUGUGCAUUUUGUCAAAAAGGAAGACCUUCCUUGAUAGAGGAAGACUGAGCUGUGCUCCCAAUAGACCCUUCAAACAAACUCUCAUGGUCCCUUAACAGUGGUUUGCCGUUCUCCCCGCCUCCACCUUACCCCCUUUUGGU
This 281-nucleotide small nuclear RNA is filed under the name Dipodomys ordii (Ord's kangaroo rat). RNAcentral describes it as "7SK RNA". It matches the Rfam family "7SK RNA". From Rfam's summary of the family: 7SK was discovered as an abundant small nuclear RNA in the mid-70s but a possible function has only recently been suggested. The record is from Rfam by way of RNAcentral. Lineage: Eukaryota; Metazoa; Chordata; Mammalia; Rodentia; Heteromyidae.